RNAcentral lists this transfer RNA (76 nucleotides) under Candidatus Saccharimonadota bacterium. Its description in RNAcentral is "tRNA-Trp". It matches the Rfam family "tRNA". From Rfam's summary of the family: Transfer RNA (tRNA) molecules are approximately 80 nucleotides in length. Their secondary structure includes four short double-helical elements and three loops (D, anti-codon, and T loops). Lineage: Bacteria; Candidatus Saccharimonadota. The record is from RNAcentral.
AGGGGAGUAGCUCAGAUGGCAGAGCAUUGGUCUCCAAAACCAAAGGUCGCAGGUUCGAUCCCUGUCUCCCCUGCCA